Salvelinus sp. IW2-2015 is the source of this 561-nucleotide non-coding RNA. The record is from RefSeq and is a predicted model, not a curated record. NCBI's taxonomy places the organism in Eukaryota, Metazoa, Chordata, Actinopteri, Salmoniformes, Salmonidae.
CUUUUACGGUGAGAUACAAUUUUAAAACCAUUUAUUUAAUUCAAAAUAUUUAGUACAGACCUUUUAAAACAUGCUAUAAUUAAUGCUAAACAUUUUUACUAUUCCUUUCUUACAGAAAAAUGGGAGGCUAUAGGGUUUUCCCUGACCCCCCGUCCGUGUCUAAUUCCCCCGUUAAAAGGUGAGACACAAUUUUAAAACCCUUUAUUUAAUUCUAAAUCUUUAGUACAGACCUUUUAAAACAUGCUAUAAUUAAUUAAACAAUUUUACUAUUCCUUUCUUACAGAUAAAGGGCCCAGCUAUAGGUUUUGACACCCGUCCGUUUCCAAUUCCCCGUCGUCAAGACAGGCUCUCUUGCACGCUCCAGCAUGGUUCCUAUCUGGCCACUGGAGGGCUGGCAAUGGAAGUUCAGAGGAAACCCAACAAACUCAAUAUUUCAAGUUCUUACCCUAGACCUUAUUGGAGAAGCUGACACUAUAUCACGGAACAAUGACGAACUGGACUACAGGAAAAGGCGGGCCAAACAGGCCCCCAUUAACAUCGACGGGGCUGUAGUGGAGCAGG